UACGCGGAUAAUUUUAUUACAUCCAAAUCGGUUAUGAGCUAGUUAUAAGAUGGUUAUAAGUGUUAUUUAUUAAUAGAUUUUUCCAAUAAGUUGAAGUAUUAAUGUCGUUUUAAUUGGGUACUAUAUUAUAAAUAAUUUUGUUUCUAUUGGUCGAGAAAUGUUGGAAAAUGUGAUGUGUUAUUCUCUAAAGGCAGGCAAAACAGCAAAAUGAGAGUGGAAUUGUCGUUUCUGGUACUGUUGACGCUGGUGGUGGCGACGACGGGGCGGCCCCCCGACCCCUCUCCCCCGCCCUCCCCCACAGAAUCCUUUAUAGAGGUGAGCAGCGUGAGGUGCGGUCCAGCGAACCUGUACUGCGGCUCCGCGGCGGCCAUCUCCGCGCCCGACCCCAACGACAUACACCAUCAGCCCCACUUCGGAUAUUCUGGCUGAUUUACUAUAUUCUGGAUCAUUUCCCGACGCUUAUCGAAUCAUUGGGUACUUAGUCGAAUUGCAUUCGAUAGUUUCGACAAAAAAUUAGUAAUAAAUGGCCUUUUUAGGUUUCCGUAAACC
Molecule: long non-coding RNA, 549 nt
Organism: Aricia agestis (brown argus)
Lineage: Eukaryota; Metazoa; Arthropoda; Insecta; Lepidoptera; Lycaenidae
Exons: 3
Source: RefSeq, a predicted model, not a curated record